ACAGAAAGAGAAAUGUUAUACACAUAAAUAUUAACAUUUUGUAGAGCAACAACAGAAUAAAAAACCAAAAUAUGAACACCAGCAACUAAAACAGGAACCAUUAAAUGAAUAUUAUACACAGCAAUAACAGCAUCAAAUAAUGGAAAUAAUGGACCCUAUUGCUCAAAUCAAAAA
Long non-coding RNA from Sitophilus oryzae (rice weevil), 174 nucleotides. RefSeq lists it as uncharacterized. The transcript is spliced from 2 exons. The record is from RefSeq and is a predicted model, not a curated record. Lineage: Eukaryota; Metazoa; Arthropoda; Insecta; Coleoptera; Curculionidae.